ACUGUGUCCAUGACAACCAGAAAAUCCAGAGCAGUGGCUGAUUUUAACCAUCUGGUUCUAUCCUUAUUCUUUAAAUUUCUCUUUUCCUCAAGGGUUAUACUAACUGCUUUAUGAUAAAGGACAGACACACUACUACACAGACAGGCUGAUAGGAAAGUAUCCACGCUGUCUACUGGAAGAGUGUAUUCCACCACAAUGAGAAAGUAAAUCAAGGAAGAGAAAGACAAGGGUCACCCAAAAGAGGAGAUCAACCAUGGGAGAGGCUAAGGUAAUCCUCAGGAUGGUGGAAGAGGAAGAUUCAGGAUGACGGCUGUGCAGACAGAAGCCAUGAGAAAACUUUGGGAGAGUCUUUUUCAGGAAAAAGGAAAUUAUGCGUUCCAGAUGCAUCUGAAUGCACUGAGAGAUUUAAAGAACUGGAGAAGAGUUUGGGGCUGGAUUCAUGUUUACUAGGUAUUUGAAGACACUGGCGACAUUUUGUUUGCAUCUCCAUUAUCCUGUGUAGUGCCUGGCAGGCGGGGGUAUGUUGGGGACAGGUGAACAAAUGAAGAUAUAUACACAUGCAUGUUGCACUAGAAACAGAAAACAGAAUAUUUUCCUAUAUUUAUAUGGAGGAGGAAAACAAAUCCAGGAAGACUUUAUGGCAGAUGUGAUAUUUGAAUAUGGAACUGGAAGUAUACUAAGAAUUUCUCCAGGUGGGCAAAGAUGGGGAGAAUAUGCAAAGCAGGGAGAACGAUUUAUAUAAAAAAGAUGAGCGAGUAGCAUGAUAUCAGUUAGUGUAUCAACAAUAAUGCUGCAUAACAAACCACCCAAAGCUCAGUGGCACCCAACACUAUAUAUAUUUUUACUCAUAGAGUUGCACAUCAGCUGAGAUUGGACUGGCAGGCUGAGUUUUUAACAGGUUCAGAUCUUACCUGCAGUAAAGUCCAAAAGUGUUUCAUCCCCUUUGGACCAAGAACUGUGAUAUAUGAGGCAGGCUCUUCUUGCGACAGAGACGGGAGAGCAAGAAGACAAGCACAUUUCAAGCCUCUAGACAUACCGUAUCCACUAAUAGAAACAUUGGCUAGAAUAAUUUACAUGAACAAGCCCAGCAUCAAUGGGUUGGAGAAUUAUAUUCCUCCUCCACUGGAGGUUGCUGAAAGUGAUUCCUGAAUAAAAGUCUAGAUUUACAAGUGUUGGGCAAUAGCCAUAAAUGCAUAUAACUUUUGGAGACUUUCUAUUUGCAUUUCCCUCAAGAGUAAAAGUUACUCAACCAGAAUGAGCCACAUGGAGCUACUGAACAUUUACAAUGUGUGGCAGGUGUGAUGGAGGAACUGAAUUUUAGUUUUAUUUAAUUUGUACUCAUUUAAAUGUCAUGUGGCUUAUAGCUACCAGAUGGAACAUGCAGCUGUAAACACCACAGUUAAAGCUGAUAUUUUGAUCUGAGGAUUUGUUUUACGAAGUCAUGUCCGAAAUUGUCAUCUUCUGCACAUAUAUUUUUUGUUCUGUCAUGAAUUUUAGGAUUCACUUUUACUAUGUACUUGUUCUUUGUGAAGAUUGGAAAAGACCUUGAGGGCUACGUGGGCCAAAUUAAUUCAAUUCCUGAGCAAAAACUGCCUCCCUGACCACCUCCAGACCUUCUUGCCAAUGUGUGUCUCUGGGAGAAGAAAAGCUAGGAGAGGAUGUGGACCAAUCAAAAUAAAUCCAGCAACAUCAUUAGAAAAAUAACACAAAAAAUAUAAGAAUAAAAGAAAAAAUUCCAAGUGGAUCCCUCUUAUGAUGGUCAUCAGAGGGUCACACAGGAAAAUUAUUUCUCAUCUGAAUAAUCUUGUGUUUUUGCCACAUACAAUUUACAUUUACAAAUUCCACAAAUAUUAUCAUUUCUGGGAAGGAAUAGAACAAUGCUGGCCAAUAAACGGAAAGGCAGCAUGCGUAAGAAUCCUUCCAUACCACUGUUUCAGGACCAAAGUCUAAGAAAGGAGAAAAAUACUAAUAAGAAUGUAGAUUUCCUUCUCUUUCUAAUUUCUUAGUCUCUAUUCUUUAAAGGAAAAAGAGAUGGAGCAGAAAUUGAGAAGAUUGUGCAACAGAAUUUCCAUACCGGAUACACACCGAGUUUCUUACAAAUAAAGACCACAUUGAAGAAGGAAACAUUACACGGGCAAAGUGUAUUUCACAAAAAGGAAAAGGAAUUUCAAAGAGAAAGAAGACAGUCUCUAACAGAGUUCUGAUCAGAAAAAUAACUCUGGAAUUUCUAUAGUUUCCAUUCUGCUUUCUAUCAUAAUUCCAUAUAACUCUCCGGCUCAUUUAGAAGGGAAAAUAUCUAGACUAUUCCAGGCUGAAUACAAUAUUCACAAGGAUUACCAGAAACACAGGAUGUAAAAUCAGUAAUAGCAGUAGCUGGGUUCCUCAUACAAUAAGAAAAAGAGACCAAGAAACCAAUAGGCAAUAAUUUAGAAGUUUGUUAGGAAAUGUGUCCUCUUUACUUUGUCCCUUGAGGCUCUUUGCAAAAGCCAAGAUUCCACAUCUUAAUGUUGCAGCAAUCAACAAGCUUUCAUCCUUAAUUAAAACAAUUAAAUGCCAUUUUCACUUAUCAAAUUGGCAAUCAUUGGGGGAAAAAUGUAAUACCAUGCUGGGGAAUUUAGAACCCCCUUUUCUACGAGUGUAAAGUGGUACAACUACUCUGGCUGCAUGCUUCAGAAGCUUAAAAAUGUGCUUAUCCUUUCCGCAGGAUCUAUCCCUGGCAACUUACUUAGCUGCAAGGAUGUUCUUCCCAGCAAUAUAAUAGAGUGCUAUGCAAAAAUGGUACUGCAUCCUAUAUUGGGUUUCUUUGUUUUUCAGGAUUGUAUUUAUUUAUUGGAGAUAGAAAGAACACAUGAGCUGGAGGGAGGGGGAGAGAGAAUCUGAAGCAGACAUCAUGCUGAGUUACAGAGCCCAAUGCAAGGCUUUAUCUCACCACCUGGAGAUCAUGAGGUCAUGAUGGGAAACCAAGAGCUGGUUGCUUAACUGAUUGAGUCACCCAGGCGCCCCGCAUAAUGGGGUGAGAAGGGAAAGGGUUGCCCCAAGCAAGCAAUUGUGUUAGCAAGAGUGAGAUGGAAAAGGAAAGAAUUACAGGACAGCAAAACAGAAGUGAAGUGAGCCAAGUUUUCCCGAAGUACACUCCAAAAGAGAAGUGGGCCAGUCAAGAGAUACAAAGGCCACAAAAACUCCAGGGCGAGGGCUUAUAUCAAUUUUUUCUUUUAGGUGGGUCCUAGGGUUGCAAUAUCUGAGUGUGUUUGGCCUGGAUUAUGGAAUAAUUAGCCAACUACCCAUAUCCUUUCCCAAGAUGCCUUCAAGAUAUCUCAAGAUUAUUUCUAUUCUAGAGACACAGUUCAGAUGAGGACAAGGGACUGCUUUCUGCAAAAGUGCAGCAAACACAAGAAAUUUAACUCUUCCUCUGCCUGGAUGUUGUGACCACAGACUGACUGCUAAAUGGGUGGGGUUGGGUGGUCCCUCAGUUGAGGCUCCUUGUCAGGACGUCUAAGGUCCAUCCGCCUAUCACUCAUGCCUAGCUCCCUGCCUGAAAAUUACAACUGACAUAAAGCCAACCCUGGUCUCAGUUCUGUCUUAGCAUAAAGCACCAUUCAAAGAAAUAACAGUCCAUCAGAAAACUAAAACAGUUAAAAUCUGUAUAUGCCUCUCAAAAAAAUAGCACAGGACAAGUACACGAAGUUUCUGAAACCAAGAGAGAGAAUAUAAUCUGGGCUAGGGUCUGAUGGUGCAGACUUAGAAUAUUAAUGAACAAGGCACCACUGGAAAUCAUGCCAUGGGCUUUCAGGAAAAGCACAUGUGGUCAGUGCAGCAGGCCUGGAAGCUGAAUCUGGCUGGAAAUACUCAAAGGAAAAAGAGAAGAUUCCAGCUAAGGGAGAAGGCACAAAGGCAGGGCUGCUGAAGACUGGUCUAGCUGCGGGGACCACUAUGACGUGAAUGGUGCUUGCAGAUGUGCUGUGCAAACCAACAUCUGAGAAUAUGGAUCUCCAAAUGCAUGAGGGAGUGACUUGCCUUACAAAAUGAGUGUUUGAAAAGUUCAUAUCUUUUUGACGUGUUUUUACACUUUUGUUCCCCAAAUCAAAUUACAGGCAAAUUUUCAGGAACCUAUCAAAAGCAAGGUCCAUUCACAAUGUACUUGAGAAUAACCUCAAGGGUAAUUAUAGCAUAAACAAAUCAUGUUUGUGUUAGCAGAGAUAGGAGAAGAGAACUCAAGGGGAAAUUUGCUUUCUUUAUAAAUGCUGCUGGGUUUUUUUGUUUUUUUUUUUCAUCUUUUCACCCAUCUUCCCACCCACCUCCCCUCUGGGGACUAUCAAUCUGUUCUCUGAAGUUAAGAGUCUGUUUCUUGGUUUGUCUCUAUUUCCCCCUUUGCUCAUUUGUUUCUUAAAUUCCACAUAUGAGCGAAAUCAUAUGAUACUUGUCUUUCUCUGACUUAUUUUACUUGACAUUCUACUCUCUAGCACCAUCCAUGUUGUUGCAAAUGGCAAGAUACAUUCUUUUUUUUACAGCUGAACAAUAUUUUAUUGUAUAAAAAAUGUUUUAUAUAUUUAAUUAUAUAUAUUAUAUAUAUAUAUAUAU
This is a long non-coding RNA of Canis lupus familiaris (dog), 4578 nucleotides long. RefSeq lists it as uncharacterized. NCBI's taxonomy places the organism in Eukaryota, Metazoa, Chordata, Mammalia, Carnivora, Canidae. The transcript is spliced from 4 exons. The record is from RefSeq and is a predicted model, not a curated record.